This 199-nucleotide long non-coding RNA is filed under the name Phoenix dactylifera (date palm). RNAcentral describes it as "long non-coding RNA (PDAC_LNC007075)". Lineage: Eukaryota; Viridiplantae; Streptophyta; Magnoliopsida; Arecales; Arecaceae. The record is from RNAcentral.
UGGCCUAUAAUAUAGUCAUUUGCACUAAGACAUAUCUUUGAGACCGAUUCGGUUGCCUUGGUCCAUUCCUUCUACCAGGCAUCCAACAUCAUAUGUUUUAUAUUGUGGUUAAUCACGGCCAACCCUUGAUUUUUCGGUCUAUUUGCCAACAUCCUGAUCGAAUUCUUCUUUUUCAACCUAUAUAACUGAAUCCUAUCCA